GGAGGGGGCAAGCGUUGUUCGGAAUUACUGGGCGUAAAGGGCUCGUAGGCGGCCAAGUAAGUCGGACGUGAAAUCCCUCGGCUUAACUGGGGAACUGCGUCCGAUACUGGAUGGCUUGAGUUUGGGAGAGGGAUGCGGAAUUCCAGGUGUAGCGGUGAAAUUCGUAGAUAUUUGGAGGAACACCGGUGGCGAAGGCGGCAUCCUGGACCCACACUGACGCUGAUGAGCGAAAGCCAGGGGAGCAAACGGGAUUAGAUACCCCGGUAGUCCUGGCCGUAAACGAUGAAUGCUAGGUGUUGGGGAGCAAAGCUCUUCGGUGCCGCCGCAAACGCAUUAAGCAUUCCACCUGGGGAGUACGUUCGCAAGAAUG
This 370-nucleotide ribosomal RNA is filed under the name uncultured bacterium. Its description in RNAcentral is "bacterial SSU rRNA". It matches the Rfam family "Bacterial small subunit ribosomal RNA", at positions 527 to 896 of the family's 1533-position model. The record is from RNAcentral.